RNAcentral lists this ribosomal RNA (460 nucleotides) under uncultured bacterium. Its description in RNAcentral is "partial 16S ribosomal RNA". It matches the Rfam family "Bacterial small subunit ribosomal RNA", at positions 338 to 795 of the family's 1533-position model. The record is from RNAcentral.
CCUACGGGUGGCUGCAGUGAGGAAUAUUGGUCAAUGGACGAGCGUCUGAACCAGCCAAGUAGCGUGAAGGAUGACUGCCCUAUGGGUUGUAAACUUCUUUUAUAUGGGAGUAAAAUGUUCCACGUGUGGGAUUUCGUAUGUACCCUAUGAAUAAGGAUCGGCUUACGCCGUGCCAGCAGCCGCGGUAAUACGGAGGAUACGAGCGUUAUCCGGAUUUAUUGGGUUUAAAGGGAGCGUAGGUGGAUUGUUAAGUCAGUUGUGAAAGUUUGCGGCUCAACCGUAAAAUUGCAGUUGAAACUGGCAGUAUUGAGUACAGUAGAGGUGUGCGGAAUUCGUGGUGUAGCGGUGAAAUGCUUAGAUAUCACGAAGAACUCCGAUUGCGAAGGCAGCUCACUGGACUGCAACUGACACUGAGGCUCGAAAGUGUGGGGAUCAAACAGGAUUAGAUACCCUUGUAGUC